GACGAACACUGGCGGCGUGCCUAAUACAUGCAAGUCGAGCGAAUUUACGAGAGCUUGCUCUCGUAAAUUAGCGGCGGACGGGUGAGUAACACGUGGGCAACCUGCCUAUAAGACUGGGAUAACUUCGGGAAACCGGAGCUAAUACCGGAUAAUUCACAUCUACUCAUGUAGAUGUGCUGAAAGACGGUUUCGGCUGUCACUUAUAGAUGGGCCCGCGGCGCAUUAGCUAGUUGGUGAGGUAACGGCUCACCAAGGCCACGAUGCGUAGCCGACCUGGGAGGGUGAUCGGCCACACUGGGACUGAAACACGGCCCAGACUCCUACGGGAGGCAGCAGUAGGGAAUCUUCCGCAAUGGACGAAAGUCUGACGGAGCAACGCCGCGUGAGUGAUGAAGGUUUUCGGAUCGUAAAACUCUGUUGUUAGGGAAGAACAAGUAGCAGAGUAACUGCUGGUACCUUGACGGUACCUAACCAGAAAGCCACGGCUAACUACGUGCCAGCAGCCGCCGUAA
RNAcentral lists this ribosomal RNA (512 nucleotides) under uncultured bacterium. RNAcentral describes it as "partial 16S ribosomal RNA". It matches the Rfam family "Bacterial small subunit ribosomal RNA", at positions 28 to 523 of the family's 1533-position model. The record is from RNAcentral.